GAUGAACGCUGGCGGCGUGCCUAAUACAUGCAAGUCGAGCGAACAGACGAGGAGCUUGCUCCUCUGACGUUAGCGGCGGACGGGUGAGUAGCACGUGGAUAACCUACCUAUAAGACUGGGAUAACUUCGGGAAACCGGAGCUAAUACCGGAUAAUAUAUUGAACCGCAUGGUUCAAUAGUGAAAGGCGGUUUUGCUGUCACUUAUAGAUGGAUCCGCGCCGCAUUAGCUAGUUGGUAAGGUAACGGCUUACCAAGGCAACGAUGCGUAGCCGACCUGAGAGGGUGAUCGGCCACACUGGAACUGAGACACGGUCCAGACUCCUACGGGAGGCAGCAGUAGGGAAUCUUCCGCAAUGGGCGAAAGCCUGACGGAGCAACGCCGCGUGAGUGAUGAAGGUCUUCGGAUCGUAAAACUCUGUUAUUAGGGAAGAACAAAUGUGUAAGUAACUAUGCACGUCUUGACGGUACCUAAUCAGAAAGCCACGGCUAACUACGUG
Molecule: ribosomal RNA, 497 nt
Filed under: uncultured bacterium
Lineage: Bacteria
Description: partial 16S ribosomal RNA
Rfam family: Bacterial small subunit ribosomal RNA
Source: RNAcentral